Molecule: ribosomal RNA, 207 nt
Filed under: uncultured bacterium
Lineage: Bacteria
Description: partial 16S ribosomal RNA
Rfam family: Bacterial small subunit ribosomal RNA
Source: RNAcentral
UGCGUAGGCUGCCUAUUAAGUUGGAUGUGAAAGCCCUCGGCUUAACCGAGGAACUGCGUCCAAAACUGGUGGGCUUGGGGUUGGUAGGGGACAGUGGAACUCCAGGUGGAGCGGUGAAAUGCGUAGAGAUCUGGAGGAACUCCGGUGGCGAAAGCGACUGUCUGGGCCAUACCCGACGCUGAUGCACGAAAGCCAGAGGAGCAAACG